AGAGUUUGAUCCUGGCUCAGAUUGACCGCUGGCGGCGGCUUAACACAUGCAAAUCGAGCGGAGAGAGGUAGCUUGCUACUGAUCUUAGCGGCGGACGGGUGAGUAAUGCUUAGGAAUCUGCCUAUUAGUGGGGGACAACAUUUCGAAAGGAAUGCUAAUACCGCAUACGUCCUACGGGAGAAAGCAGGGGAUCUUCGGACCUUGCGCUAAUAGAUGAGCCUAAGUCGGAUUAGCUAGUUGGUGGGGUAAAGGCCUACCAAGGCGACGAUCUGUAGCGGGUCUGAGAGGAUGAUCCGCCACACUGGGACUGAGACACGGCCCAGACUCCUACGGGUGGCAGUAGUGGGGAAUAUUGGACAAUGGGCGCAAGCCUGAUCCAGCCAUGCCGCGUGUGUGAAGAAGGCCUUAUGGUUGUAAAGCACUUUAAGCGAGGAGGAGGCUACUUUAGUUAAUACCUAGAGAUAGUGGACGUUACUCGCAGAAUAAGCACCGGCUAACUCUGUGCCAGCAGCCGCGGUAAUACAGAGGGUGCAAGCGUUGGUCGGAUUUACUGGGCGUAAAGCGCGCGUAGGCGGCUAAUUAAGUCAAAUGUGAAAUCCCCGAGCUUAACUUGGGAAUUGCAUUCGAUACUGGUUAGCUAGAGUGUGGGAGAGGAUGGUAGAAUUCCAGGUGUAGCGGUGAAAUGCGUAGAGAUCUGGAGGAAUACCGAUGGCGAAGGCAGCCACCUGGCCUAACACUGACGCUGAGGUGCGAAAGCAUGGGGAGCAAACAGGAUUAGAUACCCUGGUAGUCC
RNAcentral lists this ribosomal RNA (793 nucleotides) under uncultured bacterium. RNAcentral describes it as "bacterial SSU rRNA". It matches the Rfam family "Bacterial small subunit ribosomal RNA", at positions 8 to 796 of the family's 1533-position model. The record is from RNAcentral.